Molecule: ribosomal RNA, 109 nt
Filed under: Megaleporinus cf. elongatus
Lineage: Eukaryota; Metazoa; Chordata; Actinopteri; Characiformes; Anostomidae
Source: RNAcentral
UACGCCCGAUCUCGUCCGAUCUCGGAAGCUAAGCAGGGCCGGGCCUGGUUAGUACUUGGAUGGGAGACCGCCUGGGAAUACCAGGUGCUGUAAGCUUCAUACCAGCCUG